AUAUUCUUUAGUGUGGUUUUAAAUUUUCUAAGCACUUUCUACAUUUGUAUUAAUGUAUUUUAAGCUCUUUUCCAUGGUAUAUGGGAAUCAUUAUUAUUUUUUUAUUAAUUAAUUUAGUAAAACUUCAUAAUACUUCCUAAAUCGAUGGAAUAACCACUAUAAAAUAACUAUUUUCUUGAAAAACGGAGACAACAAAGGCUCCAAAUCUCUUUGAACAUCAUCAUAGGUUAGUGCAGGAUGAAACUACGCAUUAAAACCAUAGUGUCAUAUUUUAUGAAAUUUUCUCAAAAUCCAUGUGUUAACCCCUUCGAAAAUAUUGAGUUUUUGGUAAAUACUUUAUAUAUUGAAGCCUAUAAUCUUUAGUGUUGUUUUAAAAUUUCUAACCACAUUCUACAUUUGUACUAAUGUAUUUUAAGCUCUUUUUCAUGGUAUAUGAGAAUCGUUAUAAUUUGUUUCUCAAUUAAUUUAGUAAAACUUCAUAAUACUCCCUAAAUCAAUGAUAUAACAACUACUAUAAAAUAACUAUUUUCUUGAAAAACAGAGACAACAAAGGCUCCAAAUCUCAUUGAACUUCAUCAUAGGUUAGUACAUGAUGCAAAUAUGCAUUAAAAAAAUAUUUUCAUAUUUUAUAAAAUUUUCUCAAAAUCCAUGUGUUAACCCCUUCAAAAAUAUUGAUGUUUUGAUAAAUAUUUUAUAUACUGAAGCCUAUAAUCUUUAGUGUUGUUUUAAAAUUUCUAACCACAUUCUACAUUUGUAUUUAUCUAU
Long non-coding RNA from Brassica rapa (field mustard), 765 nucleotides. RefSeq lists it as uncharacterized. NCBI's taxonomy places the organism in Eukaryota, Viridiplantae, Streptophyta, Magnoliopsida, Brassicales, Brassicaceae. The record is from RefSeq and is a predicted model, not a curated record.